AGGCUGGGGGCACCCUGAUCCAGCCAUGCCGCGUGUGUGAAGAAGGCCUUUUGGUUGUAAAGCACUUUAAGCAGUGAAGAAGACUCCAUGGUUAAUACCCAUGGACGAUGACAUUAGCUGCAGAAUAAGCACCGGCUAACUCUGUGCCAGCAGCCGCGGUAAUACAGAGGGUGCAAGCGUUAAUCGGAAUUACUGGGCGUAAAGCGAGCGUAGGUGGCUUGAUAAGUCAGAUGUGAAAGCCCCGGGCUCAACCUGGGAACGGCAUCUGAUACUGUUAGGCUAGAGUAGGUGAGAGGAAGGUAGAAUUCCAGGUGUAGCGGUGAAAUGCGUAGAGAUCUGGAGGAAUACCGAUGGCGAAGGCAGCCUUCUGGCAUCAUACUGACACUGAGGUUCGAAAGCGUGGGUAGCAAACAGGAUUAGAUACCCUGGUAGUCCACGCCGUAAACGAUGUCUACUAGUCGUUGGGUCCCUUGAGGACUUAGUGACGCAGCUAACGCAAUAAGUAGACCGCCUGGGGAGUACGGCCGCAAGGUUAAAACUCAAAUGAAUUGACGGGGGCCCGCACAAGCGGUGGAGCAUGUGGUUUAAUUCGAUGCAACGCGAAGAACCUUACCUGGUCUUGACAUAUCUAGAAUCCUGCAGAGAUGCGGGAGUGCCUUCGGGAAUUAGAAUACAGGUGCUGCAUGGCUGUCGUCAGCUCGUGUCGUGAGAUGUUGGGUUAAGUCCCGCAACGAGCGCAACCCUUGUCCUUAGUUACCAGCGGUUUGGCCGGGAACUCUAAGGAUACUGCCAGUGACAAACUGGAGGAAGGCGGGGACGACGUCAAGUCAUCAUGGCCCUUA
Molecule: ribosomal RNA, 842 nt
Filed under: Psychrobacter sp. HTGH24
Lineage: Bacteria; Pseudomonadati; Pseudomonadota; Gammaproteobacteria; Moraxellales; Moraxellaceae
Description: bacterial SSU rRNA
Rfam family: Bacterial small subunit ribosomal RNA
Source: RNAcentral